Molecule: long non-coding RNA, 2133 nt
Organism: Astyanax mexicanus (Mexican tetra)
Lineage: Eukaryota; Metazoa; Chordata; Actinopteri; Characiformes; Acestrorhamphidae
Exons: 4
Source: RefSeq, a predicted model, not a curated record
UAGUGGGCGGAGCUUGUGGCUGUGUUUGGGAGCGGAGAGCAGCAGAUUGAACCAGGCGGCUCAGCAGCAGCUAAACUCCUGCAGAAACAUGAACAAAAUGUGGACAAAGGACAGUUUAACCACUUGUGUGACACUCUAAAGCGUCUUAAAUGAGGUUCAGUCAGUGAAGACUGCACGACUACUGAACUCGUUUUUGUUGGAAAGAUCAGUAAUAACAGCAUGGAUCUGAACUGGGCUGAACUGGGAGGUGUUGGGAAUGACUGCAGUGGCCCCACUAAAAGCUGACGAGAUCCCAGUCACAGACCUACAGCACCACAUGCAUUGUAAACUACUGAAAGACGCUUGUCGAGCCGCCGCUGACUGAUCACAGACCAGUCACAGUCAUCUGGCAAAUAUUUGGCAUGCUGGAUAUCUGACCCAGUCAGCGACUUGGAGUCAGAAGGAGCAGCAUUUAUGGAAGUCCCCUGCGACUCUCAGAAAGGAGGAGAGAGAUGAACAAACCUUCACUGCGAGCAGCGGGCGGCUGACCGUUUCUCAAAAACCAACAACACAGAACACGGCUGAGGAGUGGAGCUGGAUUCUGAAUCGGUUAUGACCCAGUCUGGAAAGUAGGUCUCUGCCCCCCCCACCCCACCCCUCCAGCGUCUCCAGUGCCAGGCGCUGUGUGCGAGUGAUUUGAGACAACACUUCUUCUCGAGCAAGCCUCCUCCCCGGAGAACGUGAUGUCAGCGUUGCAUUAUGGGAGCGUUUAGUCAUGCAUGCGUAACAGUGUGUUGAGCUGUGAGGCCAAUUUGCUGCAGAGCCUGAAGACGUGAAGCCGUUUCAGGACUCGAGGCGGUAAAUGUUGACUCAGUCAAGCUGCUCGAACACUCAGGAGUUACCGAGUCAACCCGAGUGCUCCUGUCAUUUUAUAGGUAAGUGGUUUUGCACUCACAGUGAGAUCAUCAUCACCAUGAGACCCUCUUCAUCAAAUCCUCACUGGAAAUACUGUUCAAAAAGUUCCAAAAUAAGAGAGAAAUUCUUAUGUUUUAGGAUUAUCUGAACUAGCUACACAAAACUCCACUUCCCAGCAUGCACCCAUGGAUCAUUACGUUACGCUUCGGCGUUCCCACUCCCCUUCAAGAUUCUGAUUGUUUUCACCUGACAUCCUAUGUAUAUAUACCCCUAAUGUGUGUGUGUGUGUGUGUGUGUGUUAAUAUAGUAGGUACCCAGCCAACAAAUAUCACUCAUUUGUUUGCCUACAAGACGCCAGGUCAGCCAAAACAUUAAGUACACACAAAAAACUCACCAAUCAGAUGGCCUAUUAUUGUGAAUUACUUUCACAUUGAAGGACAGCAUUUAAAAAAUGCUUUUUAAUAUAAUACGACACAAUAUCCGUCUCAUUUACCGUCACAAUUCCAUGAUAGUUCGCUAACUAUUGAAUUAAUCCAGCAUGAGCCCCGUUUUACACUAGACAGCCAUGGCCCCGCCCCCGGAGUGAAAAUCAUGAAUCUGAUUGGUUAGAUUGUCCUACUACGACUUUGCUAAUAGCCUCAUUACUACACCCUUCAAAAAAUCAGGAGAUGGGUCAUGCAAACACACAGGGGAGGAGCCAUUUUAAAAAGCAGUUUUGAUUGGUUAGAACUGCUAUCAGUCAGAUAAGAGUCCUGUAGCAAAUAAAAACGCAGACUAAUGCUUUGAAUUAGUUGCUGUUUUUUAUUUUAGUUAAUUUAGUUAAAUUGUAUUUCGUGUCAAAAACAGUGGCAGAUUCAGGCUUAAUGUAGGGUAGAAAAAGGAGCACUUUCACCUGUUCAGUACAGUAUAAUACUAAAAACCUACUGCAGAUAAUUCAGAAUGUUCUAUUGAUUCACGCCCCACUUAAAAAACAGUCCAACAUAAUUUUUCAACCUAAUAACUCGUGCAUCUGCAGCAUAUGGCCAUUUAACAUGGACGAUAUUUGAAAUGCAUUUCUUAUUUCUAAAUUAACUAAUAGAAAACUCUUUGAAACACUCCGAUGCGCCACCAUCUGCCCACUGUUUACUCUGUUUUUGUUUGUUUUUGCUGUCAAAAAUCUUAAUUUCUCAAUAUAUCUUGGUUCUUCUCAAGGUUGCUUUUUCUCACUCUAAGAGUCUUUCCACUCUCAAAAUGAUUUAG